CAAAAUAUAUUGAAAUGUUAAAACACUUGGACAAAAGACCAUUAAUAAAAGUCUAGAACUCAGAUUGGAAGAAGCAAAGCACUAGACAUUCUCUGGAGACUUUCAGACUUUGAGAAAUUGACUUUGAAAAAAUAAUAAAUGGAUAAUAAUUAUUAACUCUUGCUGGCUAGUGGUCCAGGAAAUCAGUUCUGAACAGCCAUACUUAAGUCUCUGGGUUUGAGCAGGAUCUAUCUACUCUGUGACCUGAAAUUAGUCAUAUCUUUACAAACGAGAAUUGAGAUUUUUCUAAUGAGGUCUUGGUGAAGAUAAACAAUUAUAGAAGUGAUCAUCAGAGAAUUCUUUAAAUGUUUAUAAAUCUUAAACCUUUCGUUUACAACCUAUAUUUCCAACUGUUCAUGGGUCAUCUCACCAGACAUUAGAAGUCACCUCAAAUUCAGUGUGUUCAAAAUGGAACUCAAAGGUGUGUCUAUGACCUCCGCAACUUGCUUUUUUUUUGGCUCCCCUGUGCUAGUUAAUGAUCCACUGUAAACAUAAUAACUAACACUUAUCGAGGGCAUACUAUGUACCAUUCCCUGGGCUGUUUUACAUGUACUUAUUUAAAGCUCUUAAGAAACAUUGAAACUCAUCUACCUUCUGAAGUAGAUACGAUCUACUUCAGAUUAAGAAACUAAGUCACAAAAAGACUAAGAACUCAUCUAAUAGUCAAACUCUUCUUUCUUCCUGUCCCUCCAAUUCCCCUCUACAUUGAAUUCGUUAUUGGGUCCUAUCAACUCCAACUCCUCCAUGUGGCCCCUCUCAACAAUGUCCCUUCAACCUGCCGAAUUCUCUAGAACACGAACCCUCUGCCUGUCCACUCUCUUCAUCGUGUGUUACCUAGGCUGCUAUCACAUAAAGAGCAACCUUUCUAAUUCAUAGAUCUUACUACUUCGUGUCCCUCCUAGAAAGUUCUCCCUGUGGGAUGAGACUCCCCAGCAAGCUGACUGAUCAGAUCCUCCUCUCUUUCUGCUCCCUAGGCUUUAGCCACACAGAAUUAUCAUGAAUCCAUGAAUCUACCAAAUCAUUUCUACCUCCCGUACUUUUGCCCGUGUCAUGUCCUCUGCCUGGAAGGCUCUUCUCUCCCUUUUGGCCCUGGCUCUUUCUUACUUCAGGGUCAGGCCAAGCACCACCUCUUCCUUCCAAAUCCUUCCACCCAAAGCUACCUACAUAGCUCUCUGUACUGCUACCGCAUGUGGUCCUAAAUGCGCUUAUCACACCAUAUAGUAACUAUACAUAUUACACAGGCACUCUACCACUGAGCUACAUCCCCAGCCCUUUCCAUUUUCAAUUUUGAGAUAGAAUCUGGCUAAGUUACCCAGGUUGGCCUUGAACUUGUGAUCCUCCUGCCUCAGCUUCUUGAGUGGCUGGGAUUAUAGGCGUGCACCACCACACACCUAGGCUAGCUGUGAUGUUUUCUGAACUGUCCAUCAUGUGGUCAUAUGUUUUAGGUCAGGGAACUUUCUUCUCCUGUUUUGAGUCCCCAGAACUUAAUGGAUCCCAGAUCCUUCUCAAAAUGUUGGUUGUAUCAGUUCAUUAAUAUGAACAUGAAGAUCAUGCUCACUGGUGACAAAUGCCGCUCAACCUUUCAGGAGCUGGGUGUCAUGCUUGUAAAUGGGAUUUCUAAUCCUCUCCAUGUAUCAACAAUUUAUUUCCCAAAUUUGUAAGUUUCCAUUAAUAAAGUAUUGUCCACA
Molecule: long non-coding RNA, 1727 nt
Filed under: Marmota monax (woodchuck)
Lineage: Eukaryota; Metazoa; Chordata; Mammalia; Rodentia; Sciuridae
Source: RNAcentral